AGAGUUUGAUCCUGGCUCAGUAGGGCAGGGGGGCUGGCUUGACACAUGCGAGUCGAACGAUGAAGCCCUUCGGGGUGGAUUAGUGGCGAACGGGUGAGUAACACGUGGGCAAUCUGCCCUUCACUCUGGGACAAGCCCUGGAAACGGGGUCUAAUACCGGAUACCACUCCUGCCUGCAUGGGCGGGGGUUGAAAGCUCCGGCGGUGAAGGAUGAGCCCGCGGCCUAUCAGCUUGUUGGUGGGGUAAUGGCCCACCAAGGCGACGACGGGUAGCCGGCCUGAGAGGGCGACCGGCCACACUGGGACUGAGACACGGCCCAGACUAAUACGGGAGGCAGCAGUGGGGAAUAUUGCACAAUGGGCGAAAGCAUGAUGCAGCGACGCCGCGUGAGGGAUGACGGGCUCCGGGUUGUAAACCUCUUUCAGCAGGGAAGAAGCGAAAGUGACGGUACCUGCAGAAGAAGCGCCGGCUAACUACGUGCCAGCAGCCGCGGUAAU
RNAcentral lists this ribosomal RNA (497 nucleotides) under Streptomyces subrutilus. Its description in RNAcentral is "bacterial SSU rRNA". It matches the Rfam family "Bacterial small subunit ribosomal RNA", at positions 8 to 524 of the family's 1533-position model. The record is from RNAcentral. Lineage: Bacteria; Bacillati; Actinomycetota; Actinomycetes; Kitasatosporales; Streptomycetaceae.